CCAGCCCCUAAGGCACACCUCCUGCCCUGCCCCAGCCUGUAGCCAGACUGUUGCUAGCUUGGUCCUAUUCCCUUACUUCUCUGCUCCCAUCAGAACAGGCUCGCACUCCUGAGGGGCGGGCGCACCCAGGGUGGACUCAGCCCUGGACUCUCUCUCUCUCUCCCUUUGCUCUCAAGGCUGGCAUGAGGCUGUCACCGGAGGCUUCGGAAGUGUCACUAACCCGCAAAUACAGACCAUCACGAUGCUGCCCUCUCCCGCCUGCAGGACAGACCUCCAGUUCUACCCCAGGCAGCAUGUGCACCAAUGAAGUACUUCCCACCAUCCCUUGAAACUAAGAACAGCCAACACGGGCGGGAUGCUGACGCUACCAGGAGGGUGUUGGACCGCAAAGCAGUAAGCCCAGAUCUAAACCAUCCAACCAUUAUUAUUUUUUUUUUUUUAACACAUAAUGAACAUCCACUGGUUGAAGUCUCCACCGUUUCUGAUGAAGUUACUAAUUCCCACUUGAUUUACAGAUUGGUUGAGUCUGGAGUGGUAACACACACCUUAUGCUAGCAUUCUGGAGGUAGAGCCAAAUGUAUUCUGCUUAUUAGGGGCUAGCCUGGUCUAUAUAGCAGGUGCCAUGGAAGCCAGAACUAUGUAGUGAAACCCUGUCUCAAAAAUACCCCAACA
Molecule: long non-coding RNA, 672 nt
Organism: Mastomys coucha (southern multimammate mouse)
Lineage: Eukaryota; Metazoa; Chordata; Mammalia; Rodentia; Muridae
Exons: 3
Source: RefSeq, a predicted model, not a curated record